UAAUACGAAGGGUGCAAGCGUUACUCGGAAUUACUGGGCGUAAAGCGUGCGUAGGUGGUUUGUUAAGUCUGAUGUGAAAGCCCUGGGCUCAACCUGGGAAUGGCAUUGGAAACUGGCUUACUAGAGUGCGGUAGAGGGUAGCGGAAUUCCCGGUGUAGCAGUGAAAUGCGUAGAUAUCGGGAGGAACAUCCGUGGCGAAGGCGGCUACCUGGACCAGCACUGACACUGAGGCACGAAAGCGUGGGGAGCAAACAGGA
RNAcentral lists this ribosomal RNA (257 nucleotides) under uncultured prokaryote. RNAcentral describes it as "partial 16S ribosomal RNA". It matches the Rfam family "Bacterial small subunit ribosomal RNA", at positions 521 to 777 of the family's 1533-position model. The record is from RNAcentral.